UUGGAGAGGCCUGUAGCAUUCUUGAAUCAGUUCCGUCUGCCUAUUUUACCAGCACCGUUAUUUUAGUUGAAUCCACUCGCGGAAAGCAGCGAAAAAGUGCGGCUGAUCCCUUCUCGACUCCGUUCGUUGACAUCUGAGACAAGAGACAAAAGAACUGAUGCAUCUUUGUGUUGUCCGUCUCUGAAGUCAGGAGUCUGCAUUUAUUUGGAAACACAAUCUCUUUCCUUGAGAACGAGUAGCCUUUUAAAACGGAUGACAUGCCGGUGGACCCAAGAGAUGGUUCCCCAGCCAGUUGUGUAUACAGUCCUGUGGGCAUAAUGUGCACGCUGGUCCCCAAGUCCUAAGUUGUAUAUGUUUAAACCUAUAUGUUCAUCUGUGCUGUGUGCGGAGGAGCUGCUCUGACGUUUGUCUUGAGUUUCACCGAGUCCCAAGGCUGCCUGCAAAACACCGCCAAAUAAGCUCAGGCACCUUCAGCUGCCCCCGAUAGCCAUUCUGCUUUCUGCUUCGAGGCCACCCUGGCAGGCGGAAGUCCAGAUCAGUGCCUAUUCCAGCUGUCAUCAGAGAGGCCUUCCUUAGCAGCUGAUGGGAGGAGAUGCAGAAGCUCAAAGACAAACACUCAGCAGAGAGAUUGCCCAGACUGGAGAUCUCCAUCAGGUUCCUCCCCUUGGAACCUGGGAAACUCCUGAGGAAGAGGGAGAAGAAGGCACCAGAGGAGGUGGAGGACACCGGGAGAACAUGGCCCACAGAAUCAACUAAGCAGGACUCCUAAGGGCUGAAGGACACUGAAGCGUCCAUCAUGAGACCUGCAUGGGUCUGCACUAGUGGUGAAUUCCUGAUAAUUUCCAAAACACCAGGCAAAGAAAGGGCAGGAGAGACAGAGGAGCUCUUACAGAAAAGGUCAGAAUUCAGAAGCAUCGCAAUUCCUGGAACUAGAAGAAUGUAACAUGACACCCUUGAAUCUUGAGGAGAAAGGGUUUUCAACUAAGCAAACUUCUUGUACCCUGGUACAUUUUCAAUCCUGUAUAAGAUUAGAAUAAGGACAAACAGGCAAAGAUUCCAUAAUUUCCCAUAUAUUUUUCUCAGGCAAUUUGAAGGCUGUUUCUUUUCAGGUUCCAUAGGUCAAGGAAGAAGAACGCAUGGGCCCAGAGAGAACAGUAUGCCAUAGAAUCAAGAACAGAACAGCGGAGAGCCGGUAAAAGGAGAAACAGUGGUCAGUUGUACUUGGUCCUAAAUAUUGAGAGGACCCCAGUGAUGAAUUAAUGGCAAACACAUGGAGAAGGCUAAGGCUAAGGGGAAGAGCUGGUUAGAGGUUCAGCAGGCGAGGGGGCUUGGCACCAAGCCUGAUAAUGUGGGUUCAAUUGAACCCACAUGGUGGAAAGAAAACAAACUCCCACAGAUUGCCCUUUGGCCUUCUUCUGUGCUAUGGUAUACACACACACACACACACACACACACACACACACACACACAGAGAGAGAGAGAGAGAGAGAG
Myodes glareolus (Bank vole) is the source of this 1491-nucleotide non-coding RNA. Lineage: Eukaryota; Metazoa; Chordata; Mammalia; Rodentia; Cricetidae. The record is from RefSeq and is a predicted model, not a curated record.